RNAcentral lists this ribosomal RNA (1245 nucleotides) under metagenome. RNAcentral's name for it is "bacterial LSU rRNA". It matches the Rfam family "Bacterial large subunit ribosomal RNA", at positions 1564 to 2818 of the family's 2925-position model. The record is from RNAcentral.
UGAGUACGAGAUGCUACGGCAUCGAAGCAGUCUAUGUCAUACUUCCAAGAAAAGCUUGCACUGUCAUAAACAAAGAAUGCCUGUACCAUAACCGACACAGGUGGGUAGGUAGAGUGUACCAAGGGGCGCGAGAUAACUCUCUCUAAGGAACUCGGCAAAAUGACUCCGUAACUUCGGGAGAAGGAGUGCCUUAUUUCUAAGGUUGCAAUAACAAGAUCCAAGCAACUGUUUACCAAAAACACAGGUCUCCGCUAAGUCGUAAGACGAUGUAUGGGGGCUGACGCCUGCCCAGUGCCAGAAGGUUAAAGAAGUUGGUUAGCAUUAGCGAAGCUGAUAACUGAAGCCCUGGUGAACGGCGGCCGUAACUAUAACGGUCCUAAGGUAGCGAAAUUCCUUGUCGGGUAAGUUCCGACCCGCACGAAAGGCGUAAUGAUUUGGAUACUGUCUCGGAGAGGGGCUCGGUGAAAUAGACUUGUCUGUGAAGAUGCGGACUACCUGCACCUGGACAGAAAGACCCUAUGAAGCUUUACUGUAACUUGAGAUUGAAAUUGGACUUUAUUUGCGCAGUAUAGGUGGGAGGCGUUGAGAAUAAUCUUGCGGGAUUGUUGGAGCCAUCAGUGAGAUACCACUCUUGUAAUGUUAGAUUUCUAACUUUGUAUCAUUAUCUGGUCAAAGAACAGUUUCAGGCGGGCAGUUUGACUGGGGCGGUCGCCUCCCAAAGGGUAACGGAGGCGCACAAAGGUUUCCUCUGAACGGGUAGAAAUCGUAUCUAGAGUGUAAAGGCAUAAGGAAGCUUGACUGUGAGACCUACGAGUCGAGCAGGGACGAAAGUCGGUCUUAGUGAUCUGACGGUGCUGAGUGGAAAGGCCGUCACUCAACGGAUAAAAGUUACUCUAAGGAUAACAGGCUGAUCUCCCCCAAGAGUUCACAUCGACGGGGAGGUUUGGCACCUCGAUGUCGGCUCAUCGCAUCCUGGGGCGGUAGUCCGUCCCAAGGGUUGGGCUGUUCGCCCAUGAAAGCGGUACGCGAGCUGGGUUCAGAACGUCGUGAGACAGUUCGGUCCAUAUCCGGUGUAGGCGUUAGAAUAUUGAGAGGAGCCUUCUCUAGUACGAGAGGACCGAGAAGGACAUACCUCUGGUGUACCAGUUAUCGUGCCAACGGUAAACGCUGGGUAGCUAUGUAUGGAGUGGAUAACCGCUGAAAGCAUCUAAGUGGGAAGCCCACCUCAAGAUAAGUAUUCUCAUC